This 253-nucleotide ribosomal RNA is filed under the name uncultured bacterium. Its description in RNAcentral is "partial 16S ribosomal RNA". It matches the Rfam family "Bacterial small subunit ribosomal RNA", at positions 524 to 776 of the family's 1533-position model. The record is from RNAcentral.
UACAGAGGUCCCAAGCGUUGUUCGGAUUCAUUGGGCGUAAAGGGUGCGUAGGCGGUCGGGUAAGUCUGGCGUGAAAUCUCCAAGCCUAACUUGGAAACUGCGUUGGAUACUAUCCGGCUCGAGGAAUGGAGGGGAGACUGGAAUACUUGGUGUAGCAGUGAAAUGCGUAGAUAUCAAGUGGAACACCAGUGGCGAAGGCGAGUCUCUGGACAUUUCCUGACGCUGAGGCACGAAAGCCAGGGGAGCAAACGGG